This is a long non-coding RNA of Phyllostomus discolor (pale spear-nosed bat), 422 nucleotides long. RefSeq lists it as uncharacterized. The transcript has 4 exons. Lineage: Eukaryota; Metazoa; Chordata; Mammalia; Chiroptera; Phyllostomidae. The record is from RefSeq and is a predicted model, not a curated record.
UUAAUAACAAAAUAUAUUUGAAAUGUCUUAAAAAAAAUAUUGGGUUGGUUAAAAAGUCCAUUGAGUUUUUUUCUGUAAAAUAAGACACAUUUUUCAUUUUCACCAAUAACUUUAUUGAUUUGGAUAUUUUGAGUAUGUUGGCUAUUUCCCAUGUUGGAGAACAUUGACUAUUCUCAAUCAAUGUCUCAAUUUGAUCACUAUCAACUUCAACUGGUAGACCCAACUGUGGAGCAUCAUCCAGUGAGAAAUCUCCAGCACGAAACUUAGCAGACCACUUUUGAGAUGUUGGAUCAGUCACAGCAUCUUCUUCAUACACUGCACAAAUCUUUUUUGUGUUUCAGUUGCAUUUUUACCUUUGUUGUAAUAAUAAAGCAUCGUACAGUGAAAAUGUUGCUUAUUUUCCUUCAUCUUCAAUAUUAAAA